GAUGAACGCUGGCGGCGUGCCUAAUACAUGCAAGUCGAGCGAACAGACGAGGAGCUUGCUCCUCUGACGUUAGCGGCGGACGGGUGAGUAACACGUGGAUAACCUACCUAUAAGACUGGGAUAACUUCGGGAAACCGGAGCUAAUACCGGAUAAUAUAUUGAACCGCAUGGUUCAAUAGUGAAAGACGGUUUUGCUGUCACUUAUAGAUGGAUCCGCGCCGCAUUGGCUAGUUGGUAAGGUAACGGCUUACCAAGGCAACGAUGCGUAGCCGACCUGAGAGGGUGAUCGGCCACACUGGAACUGAGACACGGUCCAGACUCCUACGGGAGGCAGCAGUAGGGAAUCUUCCGCAAAGGGCGAAAGCCUGACGGAGCAACGCCGCGUGAGUGAUGAAGGUCUUCGGAUCGUAAAACUCUGUUAUUAGGGAAGAACAAAUGUGUAAGUAACUAUGCACGUCUUGACGGUACCUAAUCAGAAAGCCACGGCUAACUACGUG
This 497-nucleotide ribosomal RNA is filed under the name uncultured bacterium. RNAcentral's name for it is "partial 16S ribosomal RNA". It matches the Rfam family "Bacterial small subunit ribosomal RNA", at positions 28 to 507 of the family's 1533-position model. The record is from RNAcentral.